CCUACGGGCGGCAGCAGUAGGGAAUCUUUCACAAUGGGCGAAAGCCUGAUGGAGCAACGCCGCGUGCAGGAUGAAGGCCUUCGGGUUGUAAACUGCUUUUAUAAGCGAGAAAUAUGAUGGUAACUUAUGAAUAAGGAUCGGCUAACUACGUGCCAGCAGCCGCGGUCAUACGUAGGAUCCGAGCAUUAUCCGGAGUGACUGGGUGUAAAGAGUUGCGUAGGUGGCAUAAUAAGUAGCUAUUGAAAUCUGGUGGCUCAACCAUUCAGACUAUUAGCUAAACUGUUAAGCUCGAGACCGUUAGGGGUAACUGGAAUUUCUAGUGUAGGAGUGAAAUCCGUAGAUAUUAGAAGGAACACCAAUAGCGUAGGCAGGUUGCUGGGACGGUUCUGACACUAAGGCACGAAAGCGUAGGGAGCAAACGGGAUUAGAUACCCCUGUAGUC
Molecule: ribosomal RNA, 442 nt
Filed under: uncultured bacterium
Lineage: Bacteria
Description: partial 16S ribosomal RNA
Rfam family: Bacterial small subunit ribosomal RNA
Source: RNAcentral